UACGGAGGGUGCAAGCGUUAUCCGGAUUCACUGGGUUUAAAGGGUGCGUAGGAGGGCAGGGAAGUCCGUGGUGAAAUCCUAGAGCUUAACUCUAGAACUGCCGUGGAUACUCUCUGUCUUGAAUCCCGUGGAGAUGAGCGGAAUAUGUCAUGUAGCGGUGAAAUGCUUAGAUAUGACAUAGAACACCAAUUGCGAAGGCAGCUCGUUACACGAAGAUUGACUCUGAGGCACGAAAGCGUGGGGAUCAGACAGG
This 253-nucleotide ribosomal RNA is filed under the name uncultured bacterium. Its description in RNAcentral is "partial 16S ribosomal RNA". It matches the Rfam family "Bacterial small subunit ribosomal RNA", at positions 524 to 776 of the family's 1533-position model. The record is from RNAcentral.